AUACGUAGGGGGCGAGCGUUAUCCGGAAUUAUUGGGCGUAAAGAGUACGUAGGUGGUUUCUUAAGCAUGGGGUUUAAGGCAAAGGCUUAACCAUUGUUCGCCCCAUGAACUGGGUAACUUGAGUACUGGAGGGGAAAGCGGAAUUCCUAGUGUAGCGGUGAAAUGCGUAGAUAUUAGGAGGAACACCAGUGGCGAAGGCGGCUUUCUGGACAGUAACUGACACUGAGGUACGAAAGUGUGGGGAGCAAACAGGAUUAGAUACCCUGGUAGUCCACACCGUAAACGAUGAGCACUAGGUGUCGGCCUAGCAAUAGGUCGGUGCCGAAGUUAACGCAUUAAGUGCUCCGCCUGGGGAGUACGUACGCAAGUAUGAA
RNAcentral lists this ribosomal RNA (374 nucleotides) under uncultured bacterium. RNAcentral's name for it is "bacterial SSU rRNA". It matches the Rfam family "Bacterial small subunit ribosomal RNA", at positions 523 to 898 of the family's 1533-position model. The record is from RNAcentral.